AUGAGAGGAAUACAAAGAAUGUUAAGGAGGUUACUAUUGAGAGAGCCAACGUGGAUUAGAGAUUUAGGGUAGUUUAAUCAGAUUGCACAUGAGAUCUCGAGAGGAGCAGACCUUUCAGAAUUUGGUCUGAUUUUGGGAGUGAAUGAGGGGUGUUGGCCACGAAGGUAAAUGUUACAGCCACAGGCUAUAAGCAUGCAGUUGCUGGCAUAGACUUUCCCUAUACUAUGGGACCAGGCAAGAACCAGGCAGCACAGGCCGACGUGGUAGAAGCCUCAUCAGCCCUCGCCUCAUCUUGAAUCAUCGUUUGAACAUCUGAACUGGACAAGCUGGGCUCGUAGCCAUAAUCCUAGGCACCAUCAGUGAAUGGACAUGUGUUCGUAGUCGACACGCUCAGGCAACCUACUCGCGUCAAGUCGUUGAGUCAACGCCCGUUGCAGUCGUACACCGGUCAGGCUUUAUAGCAAGUCAUGCAUCAUCGCACCGGGUUACUACAUACACCAGAGUAUUUCGUUCUGCCUAUUCAGAAACAGGAAGAGGUGGUAUUUACGAACUCUAAAUCGGGACUCUUUAACCCACAGCAGUUUACUUUAUAUAUAUAAAGACCGGGCUAGAGUCGGUGGGUGAUUAAUUGUAUGUUUUACAAUCGAAGGAUGACCUGGUCAUCAGGUAAUCUAUUUUCCUUUGGAAAUGUGAAGUGAUAUAUUGUGAACAUAAUUGAGUACCGAUAAGACGACAUAAACAGUGAUAGGAUAUACUCCUAAGUUCAUAGUGAUUCUGAAUCAUUUUAUUUUUGUCAAUUAUUUGCAUGUUUAAUUAUAUUGAGCCGAUGGCUCUUAAAUAAACUGUUUGUACCCUAUA
RNAcentral lists this long non-coding RNA (858 nucleotides) under Strongylocentrotus purpuratus (purple sea urchin). Its description in RNAcentral is "uncharacterized LOC115927305". Lineage: Eukaryota; Metazoa; Echinodermata; Echinoidea; Camarodonta; Strongylocentrotidae. The record is from RNAcentral.